CAGUAGCCACGGUAAUACGUAGGGUGCAAGCGUUAAUCGGAAUUACUGGGCGUAAAGCGUGCGCAGGCGGUUAUAUAAGACAGAUGUGAAAUCCCCGGGCUCAACCUGGGAACUGCAUUUGUGACUGUAUAGCUAGAGUACGGCAGAGGGGGAUGGAAUUCCGCGUGUAGCAGUGAAAUGCGUAGAUAUGCGGAGGAACACCGAUGGCGAAGGCAAUCCCCUGGGCCUGUACUGACGCUCAUGCACGAAAGCGUGGGGAGAAAACAGGAUUAGAUACCCCUGUAGUCCCUGUCUCUUAUAC
This 301-nucleotide ribosomal RNA is filed under the name uncultured bacterium. RNAcentral's name for it is "partial 16S ribosomal RNA". It matches the Rfam family "Bacterial small subunit ribosomal RNA", at positions 509 to 807 of the family's 1533-position model. The record is from RNAcentral.